RNAcentral lists this long non-coding RNA (334 nucleotides) under Gossypium barbadense (sea-island cotton). Its description in RNAcentral is "long non-coding RNA (GBAR_LNC006488)". The record is from RNAcentral. Lineage: Eukaryota; Viridiplantae; Streptophyta; Magnoliopsida; Malvales; Malvaceae.
GUCGCCGGAGUCGAGUAUGAGGUGUUACUAAGCUUAAUUUAACAUAUUUAGAACUUUGGAUUAUUUAUUUCUACAUUCACAGCUUUUAAGCUACUUGCAUCACAGUCACAAGAAAAAUCAUAUCUCGAGUUACAAAACUCGAAAUCAAGAUCCGUAAAUUUUCCCUAAAUCUAGACUCAUAUACCUAUCUACUAAUUUUUUUCUAGAAUUUUUGGUUGGACCAAUUAGUACAGUUUAUUAGUUAAAGUUACCCCUAUUUCAGGACUUGACUGGUCUGACCUCUGUUUACUACGAACCACAUUUCUCUCUGUAAAACAUCCAUAUGACUAUGAGG